This is a non-coding RNA of Camellia sinensis, 1454 nucleotides long. NCBI's taxonomy places the organism in Eukaryota, Viridiplantae, Streptophyta, Magnoliopsida, Ericales, Theaceae. The record is from RefSeq and is a predicted model, not a curated record.
UUGGCUUGUUCAACCUCUCACUCUCGCUCUCGCUCACCCCGUAUGAAUCUCUCUAUCCCUCUUGAUCUCAAUCGAUUGAUCUCUCAAUCUCUCUAUCUCAAUCUCAAUCUCUAUACCUCUCUCGAUCUCUCAAUCUCUCUUUGUAUCUGCGUACACAUUAUCUAUUCUCUCUCUGCAAUUUGAGCGAUUCGUCACAGAAAAACCCUAACUCUGCCAUGGCAAAGUUCUCUCGGAGCAUUCAAAUGCAGCAGAGUAAGCUCACAUCUCAUGCGUUUCAUCUACCUCAAAAUUCACCUACAUUACGCGCUCACACACACAAAGACUACCUUUGAGCUUCAUUGUGUACAUAGUGUCCUAUCAAUGCAUAAUUACAUGAAUGCUUAUAUACGUAUGUAUAUGUAUUUAGCAUCGCAAUGCAGAUCUGUUCUCGGUUCUGUUUUUGCUUCUUCUUUUUUUUUUUUUUAACCUCUGUUUUGGUUCUUUGAUCCAUAAAUUGCUUGAUUUGUUCUAAUUUUUGUUCUUUUUUCGAUGUUUUUCGCGUUUAUUGGUUGGUUAAUUGGUUUGAGAAAAUCAUCAUAAAACUUUGUGGCUAUUUCUAGUGGUGAUGCCUCUGAGGCCUUUGUACAAGCAUUACAAGAGAAGGUUUUUCAUUGACAUUCUCAUCUCAUUAGAAACAAUAUUCAAAAUGUAGCUCUUUAAUUUUUAUGAGUAAUGGGCCUUACAGCUAAUCUUUGUCACAGUUUGUUGUUUAAAACCGUCCAUGGACCAAAAAACACACAAUUGGAAUAGGUUGUCUGCCACGGCUGCUGAACAGAUUGUAUUGACAGAGUGAUCCAUUCUACAGGUGUCAGAUGAGUGGGGCCAAAACUCAUGGUGGAAGCCUUCCAUGAACCAAAGAAUAGAAAAAAGAGUUCAAGAGGGUCCAAGUUGGUGCUCUUUGCUUUUAUGAUUUGGUCGGCUAGCCUCUCUAUCAAAUUUCUUGAAUUGGCCGGAAAAAUUAAUGGUAACUGAUAAUAUUUAUUCUAUUUAUAACAUUGAAAUGUUUUAUUCCCAUCAUUUUCCUUUAUUAUCUUUUUAGUGUUCAGCUAAUAAUCUCUCUCCAAUUGCUUCGUUAUUACGAAGCAAAUCAUAUGUUUAAUUUAUUCCUUGUUGCACUUUAAAAUGUUACUAAUUAAUUUUAUAAAGUAUAGCAAUCAAAAGUGGAAGCCACAAUAUUUGAAAAUGACAUACAAAUGUUACAGAACACCCUCAAGAUUUGUACAUCCUGUGCAAUAUCAAGUGCAGUGGUCUGAGCUUUCAUGAAUCAAUCCUAGAGGAGUGUAUGAACAAGUUUUUAUAUUGUCAAGUAACCAUCAUUCCCUGACUAACAUAGGCAAAAAUGCUCAAGAACAUGUUUGGAGCAAUGCACAGAUAACUUGUUUUUUGGAUUGAUGUUGCUGCUGUAUUGUUUUUGG